Molecule: unclassified non-coding RNA, 309 nt
Filed under: plant metagenome
Description: partial contains 5.8S ribosomal RNA, internal transcribed spacer 2, and large subunit ribosomal RNA
Rfam family: 5.8S ribosomal RNA (bases 1-105)
Source: RNAcentral
GAAACGCGAUAGUUAAUGUGAAUUGCAGAAUUCAGUGAAUCAUCGAAUCUUUGAACGCACAUUGCGCCCCUUGGUAUUCCAUGGGGCAUGCCUGUUCGAGCGUCAUUUGUACCCUCAAGCUCUGCUUGGUGUUGGGUGUUUGUCCCGUCUCCGCGCGUGGACUCGCCCCAAAGUGAUUGGCAGCCGGCGUACUGGUCCCGGAGCGCAGCACAUGUCGCGCAAACGAGUGCCUUGGUACGGCGGCGUCCAUAAGCCCCUCUCUCACGCUCUUGACCUCGGAUCAGGUAGGGAUACCCGCUGAACUUAAGC